AUUGAACGCUGGCGGCAGGCCUAACACAUGCAAGUCGAGCGGAUGAAGGGAGCUUGCUCCUGGAUUCAGCGGCGGACGGGUGAGUAAUGCCUAGGAAUCUGCCUGGUAGUGGGGGAUAACGUCCGGAAACGGGCGCUAAUACCGCAUACGUCCUGAGGGAGAAAGUGGGGGAUCUUCGGACCUCACGCUAUCAGAUGAGCCUAGGUCGGAUUAGCUAGUUGGUGGGGUAAAGGCCUACCAAGGCGACGAUCCGUAACUGGUCUGAGAGGAUGAUCAGUCACACUGGAACUGAGACACGGUCAAGACUCCUACGGGAGGCAGCAGUGGGGAAUAUUGGACAAUGGGCGAAAGCCUGAUCCAGCCAUGCCGCGUGUGUGAAGAAGGUCUUCGGAUUGUAAAGAACUUUAAGUUGGGAGGAAGGGCAGUAAGUUAAUACCUUGCUGUUUUGACGGUACCAACAGAAUAAGCACCGGCUAACUUCGUG
RNAcentral lists this ribosomal RNA (484 nucleotides) under uncultured bacterium. RNAcentral's name for it is "partial 16S ribosomal RNA". It matches the Rfam family "Bacterial small subunit ribosomal RNA", at positions 30 to 507 of the family's 1533-position model. The record is from RNAcentral.